GGGGUUUUCUAUAAAAUGGUUAUAUAUAUAUAUUCUUUCAUUGUUUAUCUCCCGUGACAGCUUAGAAUUCAUCUUCGGGUGAACCUCUAUUUAAAGGGUGCACAGUGGUUCCUGGUGUUCUUGCGCGGGCUUGGUUCUUGGCUUUCUCCCACUGGUGUUCUUCCUGGUGUUCUUCCGUUGGUGUUCUCCCUAGUGUGUCGUCUCUCUUUCUUCUUGAGUUCCUGGUGGAUGAAGGCUUUUGGUUGAUAUUCUACCUUUUUUUUUCCUUUUCGGUUUCACGGAUGCCCUGUGCUGAUGAUCGA
This 302-nucleotide long non-coding RNA is filed under the name Elaeis guineensis (African oil palm). RNAcentral describes it as "long non-coding RNA (EGUI_LNC025235)". Lineage: Eukaryota; Viridiplantae; Streptophyta; Magnoliopsida; Arecales; Arecaceae. The record is from RNAcentral.